RNAcentral lists this ribosomal RNA (497 nucleotides) under uncultured bacterium. RNAcentral describes it as "partial 16S ribosomal RNA". It matches the Rfam family "Bacterial small subunit ribosomal RNA", at positions 28 to 507 of the family's 1533-position model. The record is from RNAcentral.
GACGAACGCUGGCGGCGUGCCUAAUACAUGCAAGUUGAGCGCUGAAGGUUGGUACUUGUACCAACUGGAUGAGCAGCGAACGGGUGAGUAACGCGUGGGGAAUCUGCCUUUGAGCGGGGGACAACAUUUGGAAACGAAUGCUAAUACCGCAUAAAAACUUUAAACACAAGUUUUAAGUUUGAAAGAUGCAAUUGCAUCACUCAAAGAUGAUCCCGCGUUGUAUUAGCUAGUUGGUGAGGUAAAGGCUCACCAAGGCGAUGAUACAUAGCCGACCUGAGAGGGUGGUCGGCCACAUUGGGACUGAGACACGGCCCCAACUCCUACGGGAGGCAGCAGUAGGGAAUCUUCGGCAAUGGACGAAAGUCUUACCGAGCAACGCCGCGUGAGUGAAGAAGGUUUUCGGAUCGUAAAACUCUGUUGGUAGAGAAGAACGUUGGUGAGAGUGGAAAGCUCAUCAAGUGACGGUAACUACCCAGAAAGGGACGGCUAACUACGUG